AGUGAACGCUGGCGGUAGGCCUAACACAUGCAAGUCGAACGGCAGCACAGUAAGAGCUUGCUCUUACGGGUGGCGAGUGGCGGACGGGUGAGGAAUACAUCGAAAUCUACUUUUUCGUGGGGGAUAACGUAGGGAAACUUACGCUAAUACCGCAUACGACCUACGGGUGAAAGCAGGGGAUCUUCGGACCUUGCGCGAUUGAAUGAGCCGAUGUCGGAUUAGCUAGUUGGCGGGGUAAAGGCCCACCAAGGCGACGAUCCGUAGCUGGUCUGAGAGGAUGAUCAGCCACACUGGAACUGAGACACGGUCCAGACUCCUACGGGAGGCAGCAGUGGGGAAUAUUGGACAAUGGGCGCAAGCCUGAUCCAGCCAUACCGCGUGGGUGAAGAAGGCCUUCGGGUUGUAAAGCCCUCUUGUUGGGAAAGAAAGGCAGCAGGUUAAUACCCCGCUGUUCUGACGGUACCCAAAGAAUAAGCACCGGCUAACUUCGUG
RNAcentral lists this ribosomal RNA (492 nucleotides) under uncultured bacterium. Its description in RNAcentral is "partial 16S ribosomal RNA". It matches the Rfam family "Bacterial small subunit ribosomal RNA", at positions 29 to 507 of the family's 1533-position model. The record is from RNAcentral.